RNAcentral lists this ribosomal RNA (403 nucleotides) under Verrucomicrobiota bacterium. Its description in RNAcentral is "Verrucomicrobia bacterium partial 16S ribosomal RNA". It matches the Rfam family "Bacterial small subunit ribosomal RNA", at positions 355 to 776 of the family's 1533-position model. Lineage: Bacteria; Pseudomonadati; Verrucomicrobiota. The record is from RNAcentral.
UGGGGAAUAUUGCACAAUGGGGGAAACCCUGAUGCAGCGACGCCGCGUGAGCGAUGAAGGCUUUCGAGUCGUAAAGCUCUGUCCUAUGGGAAGAUAAUGACGGUAUCAUAGGAGGAAGCCCUGGCUAAAUACGUGCCAGCAGCCGCGGUAAUACGUAUGGGGCGAGCGUUGUCCGGAAUUAUUGGGCGUAAAGGGUACGUAGGUGGUUUUUUAAGUCAGGUGUCAAAGCGUGGAGCUUAACUCCAUUAAGCACUUGAAACUGAAAGACUUGAGUGAAGGAGAGGAAAGUGGAAUUCCUAGUGUAGCGGUGAAAUGCGUAGAUAUUAGGAGGAAUACCGGUGGCGAAGGCGACUUUCUGGACUUUUACUGACGCUCAGGUACGAAAGCGUGGGGAGCAAACAGG